Long non-coding RNA from Camellia sinensis, 495 nucleotides. RefSeq lists it as uncharacterized. NCBI's taxonomy places the organism in Eukaryota, Viridiplantae, Streptophyta, Magnoliopsida, Ericales, Theaceae. The record is from RefSeq and is a predicted model, not a curated record.
AUGUUCUAUAUUGGAAUAAAUGAAUAGUAAUGACUUUCAUUAUUUAAUAUUGAUGAGUUUUCUUUUUUAUUUACUACAUCUGUUUCCUAACUCAAUUGCUGAAGGUCUCUUCAGGCUCUGGAGAUGCAAGAAUCUGAACACAAGUCCAAUUGCCUGGUUGGGAUGAUGGGUUCAACUUCCAUGGUACUGCAGGUGCCAGCAGCAGUGGACGAAGGGGAUGGGCGAGUGAGAGUUGUUGGCCCCUUCCAAUCGAAGGGUUUUAUGGAAGGACUCGAACAAUGGGAGCUUAUAGUGAUGCCAGGACGACAUCUUGUACUUAUUAGUACUUAUUUUUGGAUGGUUGGAACUAAAAUGUAUAAUGGGAGUAGUUGGUUUUUCCUAUAUUAUGUAUGAAAUUAAAUUAUUGACGUUGGAUUAGAUUUGGUUCUUAUGGAAUUUGUAAUAUAUAUAUAAUUAGACGUUCAAUAUUAAUUUUUUGGAUGGUUGGAACUAAAA